RNAcentral lists this ribosomal RNA (331 nucleotides) under uncultured eukaryote. Its description in RNAcentral is "partial 18S ribosomal RNA". It matches the Rfam family "Eukaryotic small subunit ribosomal RNA", at positions 1471 to 1796 of the family's 1831-position model. The record is from RNAcentral.
CCCUAGAUGUUCUGGGCUGCACACGUGCUACACUGGCAGGUUCAGCGAGCUUCAUGCCCUGAUCUGAAAGGAAUGGGAAAUCUUUUCAAAACCUGCCGUGCUUGGGAUAGAUGUUUGCAAUUAUUCAUCUUCAACGAGGAUUGCCUUGUAAGCGCACGUCAUCAGCGUGCAUUGAAUACGACCCUGUAUUCUGUACACACCGCCCGUCGCUCCUACCGAUUGAAGUUUUCGGUGAGUUGACAGGAGGAUUUUUUUGAAACUGGUUCGCCAGUGGAUUUUAGAUCCAAAUGCCAACGAAUCGAUGGCUUUAGAGGAAGGAGAAGUCGUAACA